UACGAAGGUCCCAAGCGUUAUCCGGAUUUAUUGGGUUUAAAGGGUGCGUAGGCGGGCUAUUAAGUCAGUGGUGAAAGCCUCAAGCUUAACUUGAGAAUUGCCAUUGAUACUGAUGACCUUGAGUACAUUUGAAGUGGGCGGAAUGUGUCAUGUAGCGGUGAAAUGCUUAGAUAUGACACAGAACACCGAUUGCGUAGGCAGCUCACUAAACUGUUACUGACGCUGAGGCACGAAAGCGUGGGGAGCAAACAGG
This 253-nucleotide ribosomal RNA is filed under the name uncultured bacterium. RNAcentral describes it as "partial 16S ribosomal RNA". It matches the Rfam family "Bacterial small subunit ribosomal RNA", at positions 524 to 776 of the family's 1533-position model. The record is from RNAcentral.